Molecule: non-coding RNA, 104 nt
Filed under: Ditylum brightwellii
Lineage: Eukaryota; Bacillariophyta; Thalassiosirophyceae; Lithodesmiales; Lithodesmiaceae
Source: RNAcentral
AUGCAAGCUUUUCCUCAACCGCCACCGCCGCCGCCACCACCACCCAUGUUUGCACAACAUGGACAACAGGUGCCCCCUGUUCAAAUGCCUCCCAUGAUGCAUCA